RNAcentral lists this unclassified non-coding RNA (223 nucleotides) under Hevea brasiliensis (rubber tree). Lineage: Eukaryota; Viridiplantae; Streptophyta; Magnoliopsida; Malpighiales; Euphorbiaceae. The record is from RNAcentral.
GGGAUUUUUACUUUACUCUUAAGAGUCAUGCCUGGUUCUGAAAUAACUAAAAGUUUGACAACAGACACAUAAUGAGCACAGUUGAGUAUUUUCUCAUAAUUAUAAAAUGCUACAACCAUGGAUUUUAAGAUGAAAGAUCUUCAAAUAGUCUAGUGAGACUGUGUUAAAUGAUUGUUGGAACGAUUUUGACUAACAAAAGAGCUGAAAAGGGGGAAAGAACAAC